Molecule: ribosomal RNA, 467 nt
Filed under: uncultured bacterium
Lineage: Bacteria
Description: partial 16S ribosomal RNA
Rfam family: Bacterial small subunit ribosomal RNA
Source: RNAcentral
GACGAACGCUGGCGGCGUGCUUAACACAUGCAAGUCGAACGGAAAGGCCUCUUUCGGGGGGUACUCGAGUGGCGAACGGGUGAGUAACACGUGAGUAACCUGCCCUUGACUUUUGGAUAACUUCAGGAAACUGUGGCUAAUACCGGAUAGGAGCUCCUGCUGCAUGGUGGGGGUUGGAAAGUUUCGGCGGUUGGGGAUGGACUCGCGGCUUAUCAGCUUGUUGGUGGGGUAGUGGCUUACCAAGGCUUUGACGGGUAGCCGGCCUGGGAGGGUGACCGGCCACAUUGGGACUGAGAUACGGCCCAGACUCCUACGGGAGGCAGCAGUGGGGAAUAUUGCACAAUGGGUGGAAGCCUGAUGCAGCAACGCCGUGUGCGGGAUGACGGCCUUCGGGUUGUAAACCGCUUUCGCUCAUGACGAAGCUUUGUGUGACGGUAGUGGGUAAAGAAGCACCGGCUAACUACGUG